RNAcentral lists this ribosomal RNA (487 nucleotides) under uncultured Corynebacterium sp. RNAcentral's name for it is "partial 16S ribosomal RNA". Lineage: Bacteria; Bacillati; Actinomycetota; Actinomycetes; Mycobacteriales; Corynebacteriaceae. The record is from RNAcentral.
CACGUAGUUAGCCGGUGCUUCUUAUCCAGGUACCGUCAAACAAACUUCGUCCCUGACGAAAGGAGUUUACAACCCGAAGGCCUUCAUCCCCCACACGGCGUCGCUGCAUCAGGCUUCCGCCCAUUGUGCAAAAUUCCCCACUGCUGCCUCCCGUAGGAGUCUGGGCCGUAUCUCAGUCCCAAUGUGGCCGCACACCCUCUCAGGCCGGCUACCCGUCGCCGCCUUGGUAGGCCAUUACCCCACCAACAAGCUGAUAGGCCGCAAGCUCAUCUCCCACCGCAAAAGCUUUCCACCACACCAACCACGGCAUAGUGAAUAUCCGGUAUUAGACCCAGUUUCCCAAGCUUAUCCCGAAGUGAAAGGCAGAUCACCUACGUGUUACUCACCCGUUCGCCACUCGAGCACCCCAGCAAGCUGAGGCCUUUCCGUUCGACUUGCAUGUGUUAAGCACGCCGCCAGCGUUCAUCCUGAGCCAGGAUCAAACUCU